This 442-nucleotide ribosomal RNA is filed under the name uncultured bacterium. RNAcentral's name for it is "partial 16S ribosomal RNA". It matches the Rfam family "Bacterial small subunit ribosomal RNA", at positions 338 to 795 of the family's 1533-position model. The record is from RNAcentral.
CCUACGGGAGGCAGCAGUGGGGAAUAUUGGGCAAUGGGCGCAAGCCUGACCCAGCAACGCCGCGUGAAUGAAGAAGGCUUUCGGGUUGUAAACUUCUUUUAAGAGGGAAGAGCAGAAGACGGUACCUCUUGAAUAAGCCACGGCUAACUACGGGCCAGCAGCCGCGGUAAUACGUAGGUGGCAAGCGUUGUACGGAUUUACUGGGUGUAAAGGGCGUGCAUCCGGGAAGACAAAUCAGAUGUGAAAUCCCGGGGCUCAACCGCGGAACUGCAUUUGAAACUGUUUUUCUUGAGUACCGGAGAGGUCAUCGGAAUUCCUUGUGUAGCGGUGAAAUGCGUAGAUAUAAGGAAGAACACCAGUGGCGAAGGCGGAUGACUGGACGGCAACUGACGGUGAGGCGCGAAAGCGUGGGGAGCAAACAGGAUUAGAUACCCUUGUAGUC